GAUGAAGAACGUAGCGAAAUGCGAAAAGUAAUGUGAAUUGCAGAAUUCAGUGAAUCAUCGAAUCUUUGAACGCACAUUGCGCCCGCCAGUAUUCUGGCGGGCAUGCCUGUCUGAGCGUCAUUUCAACCCUCAUGCCCCUAGGGCGUGGUGUUGGGGAUCGGCCAGCGCCCGCGAGGGACGGCCGGCCCCUAAAUCUAGUGGCGGACCCGUCGUGGCCUCCCCUGCGAAGUAGUGAUAUUCCGCAUAGGAGAGCUACGAGCCCCUGCCGUUAAACCCCCAACUUUCUAAGGUUGACCUCAGAUCAGGUAGGAAUACCCGCUGAACUUAAGCAUAUCAAUAAGCGGAGGA
RNAcentral lists this unclassified non-coding RNA (348 nucleotides) under soil metagenome. RNAcentral describes it as "partial contains 5.8S ribosomal RNA, internal transcribed spacer 2, and large subunit ribosomal RNA". The stretch from base 1 to 120 matches the Rfam family "5.8S ribosomal RNA", at positions 35 to 154 of the family's 154-position model. The record is from RNAcentral.